UAGCGGUUGUUUGUGUGAUCAGCUCCGAAGCUAAAGGUCGCGAGAAUGAGAAAGCCAGAGGGUUGGGGAUUUUCAAGAAAAUGGGAGCAAUGGAAAAACCAAAUUAUAAACGAAGCAAUUUGAAAGGAAGAGUAAUGCCUAAUAAUAAGGACGAGAUUCCUUUUCUAAGUGAACUUCUUCAAAAACAGAAAUCUGUAAGUACAUUAAUAAGCAAUAUCACU
Long non-coding RNA from Centruroides sculpturatus (bark scorpion), 221 nucleotides. RefSeq lists it as uncharacterized. The transcript is spliced from 3 exons. The record is from RefSeq and is a predicted model, not a curated record. Lineage: Eukaryota; Metazoa; Arthropoda; Arachnida; Scorpiones; Buthidae.